AGCUCUCAUCGCGUCGUCGAUGCUGGCGAGAGGGACACCCCCUUGUUCAUGCAGGGACAUAUCUGAAUCCUGUGCACCAGCUGGUCGAUGAAAUGGCACAACAAGCUAGCUCCAACUAUUGACAAAAACAAGCAGUGGUCUAGAGCAAAUAGAGAAGCACAUGCACGUGGUUAUGCUGCGCACGUAUAUUGGAAAGCUCUUUUACAAAUUAUUCAACCUCUGCUGGCUUCUUAAUAUUUUGAGUUAAUAUUUUAUUGUAGGGAAUGGAUUGCUGCUUUUAGGGAUGAGUCAUCUUGUCGGUGUUUACUGCCAAGCCUGCUCAGGAAUACCCUUAUCAGUAGGGUUUGUAGAUGAGGAGGAAGCUGGAGAGAUGAGUGAUAGGGAUCUCAGCCCUACUCCGAGUACCGAUACUCAAACUGGGCAUCCCAGGAGUACUCGAUCCACGGCGAGGAAGCGUCGAAGCUCCUCCCAAACUGGUAGCGACAACCUGUCCCUUCCACCAUAGUGGGUCCAUCAAGUGGGACCGGGGCUACUCCUUCGGCGAGUAGUUCCAAUGUAAAUACUACUAUUGAUGCGGGUAAGCGGGCCAUAAUUGUGAAGCCUGCCCGCAAAAUUGACAUCAAGGGUCUUGCUCUGAGAAGAGCUCCUACGGAUGCAAUCCUGGAAGGGAACGUGGAGGCUGAAGACAGCUCAGCCUCCAAAUCGGAGCUGUAGAAGCCCCCGAAUACUCCUGAUAUGAGUGCUCAAGAUGCGGAGGCCAUGGUCGACUCCAUGCUUCGGGAUUCUCCGUUGCCAAAUUUGGAGAGGGGCAAUGAGGAUGUCCCGGAGGAUGGUGGAAAUGGCAAGCUUCCUCAGGAGGGAGAGGGCGAGAAGCUUCCUGAGGGAGGCAGUGAUAAGCAGCCCGAAGAGACCCCUGCAGAUUCCCAAAAUGCAGGGAAUACUAUAGGGAGGGUUGAAGAUGUGCCCAAGGGGGCAGUGGCUGAGGUGCGGGCGAGUACUUCCCAGGUCACAUCGGGAAGUGACUUGCCGCGUGAGAAGGUGGAGCUUGCUGUCAAGCUGCUAGAGAUAAGUAGUCGAAUACUUCGAGUACUUUUAAAGGAUAUCGAGUAGUGUACUGAUCUUUUUACUUUGCAGGAGGCGCUGGGACGGGAGGGUAGCUAGUCCCAGGAUGAGAUAGAACUGAAUGCCCUGAAAGAGAGGGUUAAGACGCUCUCAUUCGAGAAGGCAGCUCUCGAGGGGAAGCUAAAGAAGCUUUCCCAGUCGAAGAAAGCUUUUCGACUGCACCGCUUCAACACCUCCACCCAACGACUGCUCGUCAUUCUACGAUUCUGGAUCACAAAGUCAUGGCUUCAUGACAGGAAGUGACCUCCUUCUUAAGAAUUUUGUUGUUUUGAUCACAACUGGGAGCUAGGUACCUGAUGAGUUGCUUGGCAGUUAACACGUCUCUUGUUCUACAAUCUGUUGUGUCAUCCAUCAUGCCAUCAUAUUAGUCCAAUGGAUGGAAUUAUUUUAACUUUGAAGGAGGGGUUGAAACACUUUGCAUCACAGAGGCGAGUUCUACAGGAAGAAGGAAGAGCUCAUGGUUGCUGCUGCAGUCUAGGGAAGGACAAGAACAGAUGAGAAUUGAACUCCCGUGUAAUUCCCUUUCCCUUCUCUAAUUUUACUCUAAGAACUCCAAUGCAAUUCCUUUCCCUUUCCCAGAUAGCAAAAUUACUGAAAGAACUACUAUAAAUUGGUCAUAUUCAUAGUGAUAAUUAUUUUUUAAGUUAUACUAUGUCCCUAGAAUUAUAAGGUUUCAUUUUUGGUUGUGUGUCAUAUGGAUUAAUGUUUUAAGUUCCUUUUUCUUCUACAUGACAGGGCGUGCUGGAAGCAAUGGCCUACAUGGUUAUGUGACUUCUCCAGCUACAUUAGGAUAGGGAAGGCAUUCUAGAAACUGGACGGAUCCAUACAUUACAAGGGAGAUCUGUAUUAGGGAUGUGAGUGGUACUGGAUUCAUACAUAUUGCGACAAACAACAACCUGGUGACAGGUGGAAAUUCUUGAAGCUGAAUGACUUUGUGAUGGUCAUAGGAGCUCUUGUGGACUGUGAUCGAGGGGUAGCUUUGAGGAGUGCGAGAGCACUAGAAUAUUUUUGUUUCAAAGUGGCACCUAUCCACGGAUAAAACACCUCGAAGAUCUUAGACAUGGGUUGUGCAGAGACGUUUUGGUUAACGAUGGUGUAAAAUGUGCCAUUACCGAACAUGUUGAUAAGAUGAAGAUGUUAGAUGCUCGCUCCAAGAGUAUUAGUGUUCUGCUUCUUAAGCGAUCUAUUUGAGUACAUGAUCGACGGCAAUCGUAAAGAUCUCGUCGUUGACGAGCAUGAAAAUAACUAGACUUAUGGAGAGGAAUUUGAUUAGGAUUGUAAUAUUAUGUUUUAAUUUAAUUAGCUAUGCAUGGCAAGUAUCA
Long non-coding RNA from Panicum virgatum (switchgrass), 2444 nucleotides. RefSeq lists it as uncharacterized. Lineage: Eukaryota; Viridiplantae; Streptophyta; Magnoliopsida; Poales; Poaceae. The record is from RefSeq and is a predicted model, not a curated record. The transcript has 14 exons.